AUUUCACUUUCACUUCAGCUCCAACACGAUGCACAACAUCGGCUGUGGAAAGAUCUUUUUAAAUACUCUCUCCUUGGAUGUUAUUUUUCUUUUUAAAAUCAUCACUACUAAGCUGUAGAUGUUGGCAUUUCGUUGUGUUGGAUUAUAAUCAGCUUGGAUCCUGCGGGCUGAUCGACACCAAACAGCUGCUGGAAAUUUAAAGCAACUGCAGAUGAAAUUGGGGCCAAAGUAAAAGUGAAACCAUCCGGAUUCUUCAACGGUCUGAAUCUUUGUUCGUUUCGCCGAGGCUCUGUGGCUUGGAUGGAUAUUAAUUCACUAAAACCGAAGAAUGUGAUGGAUUUAAGGACGGCCGUCUGUAAAGCAUCAGAUCGCUGGGAGAAAAAAGGAAGAAGAGGAGACGGAGACGGAUUGUGGGCAUCUUGUAUCUGGCAUUAUGCACAAUCAGCAGAAAUAACAGACCUUAUAGACAUAUAGAAAGUUUCACAUGUUUUUUUGUGGUUCUUGUUGUUCAUUGUGGAUUUUUGUGUCACGAUUAUUUAGCCCAAGUAUUCAUGUAUUUUAAACUUUUUCCACAUUGUGUCUCUGCACAGAUUGUAGCAUAAAAUGCCUCAUAAUUGUGAAAUGGAAGGAAUAUAGUUCAUUGUUUUGAUUUUUUGUUGUUGUUGUUCUCACUUAAAUGUCAGUGUCAAAUUUAUUUAGUUAUUUAUUUAUUGCACUUUUAGAAACAGGUUUAAAACUGCACCAAAGUGCUGUACAAAAACCAUAACACAAUAGGAUAAGUUGAUGAAAAGAGAGAAAAAAUAAAUAAAAUAAGAGUAAUAAGUAAACCAAAGAUAAAAGAUCAGAACAGAAAGGUGACAGUAUCAGGCCUCAAUUAAAUGCCAACAAUUUGAUUUAUGUUCAAAUAGCCCAUUCUGUUCUCAGCCAGGUGUGGCCAGCUUUUGUUCCUUUGUGUCCUGCUUUCCGUUCCGUUCGCAGUUCUGUAUCUAUCAAUAGAUCUAAUUCUAUGUUAUAUAAGUUGACCUGGUAUUUUAAUAAAGGACUUCGCCCUCAUUGGAACUGAUUCAUGUCAAGCUUCACCCUUGUUCUUUAAUUGGUAAAUGAUUGAACUGAUUACUCAUUUACUCUACUACAAAUAAAAUGCUUCUGACUUUUAUGAAGGUGCAAAAUUCAAAGUGUGAUCUACGUCACGUACCGCCAUUUAUUUCUUACACAAUGGCUACUGCAGCAGUUAAUAAUUUUUCAUUAAAUGUUUGUCAAGCUGUCACAGCAACACAUUUAAGAUAAAGUUUUUCUUUAUCUUAAAAUAUGUAUAGCAAAUAAAAGAUGUUAAAACA
Xiphophorus couchianus (Monterrey platyfish) is the source of this 1337-nucleotide long non-coding RNA. RefSeq lists it as uncharacterized. NCBI's taxonomy places the organism in Eukaryota, Metazoa, Chordata, Actinopteri, Cyprinodontiformes, Poeciliidae. The record is from RefSeq and is a predicted model, not a curated record. The transcript is spliced from 2 exons.